GACGAACGCUGGCGGCGUGCUUAACACAUGCAAGUCGAACGGAAAGGCCCUGCUUUUGUGGGGUGCUCGAGUGGCGAACGGGUGAGUAACACGUGAGUAACCUGCCCUUGACUUUGGGAUAACUUCAGGAAACUGGGGCUAAUACCGGAUAGGAGCUCCUGCUGCAUGGUGGGGGUUGGAAAGUUUCGGCGGUUGGGGAUGGACUCGCGGCUUAUCAGCUUGUUGGUGGGGUAGUGGCUUACCAAGGCUUUGACGGGUAGCCGGCCUGAGAGGGUGACCGGCCACAUUGGGAGUGAGAGACGGCCCAGACUCCUACGGGAGGCAGCAGUGGGGAAUAUUGCACAAUGGGCGGAAGCCUGAUGCAGCAACGCCGCGUGCGGGAUGACGGCCUUCGGGUUGUAAACCGCUGUCGCCUGUGACGAAGCGUGAGUGACGGUAAUGGGUAAAGAAGCACCGGCUAACUACGUG
Molecule: ribosomal RNA, 468 nt
Filed under: uncultured bacterium
Lineage: Bacteria
Description: partial 16S ribosomal RNA
Rfam family: Bacterial small subunit ribosomal RNA
Source: RNAcentral